CCGAAAGGCUGAAGGAGCAAUGCCGCGUGAUCGAAGAAGCCCCUCGGGGUGUAAAGAUCUUUUUUAAGGGACGAAUUUGUGACGGUACCUUAAGAAUAAGCCAGUGCUAACUUCGUGCCAGCAGCAGCGGUAAUACGAAGGUGGCAAGCGUUAUCCGGAUUGAUUGGGCGUAAAGCGUCCGCAGACGGUAUGAUAAGUCGCAGGUCAAAUCCUGAAGCUCAACUUCAGGGCUGCUUGCGAAACUGUCAUGCUAGAGGCUGGAAGAGGUGAGCGGAAUUAUCGGUGUAGCGGUAAAAUGCGUUAAUAUCGAUAAGAACACCAAAUGCGAAGGCAGCUCACUGGGACAGUCCUGACGUUAAGGGACGAAAGCGUGGGGAGCGAAUGGGAUUAGAUACCCCAGUAGUCCACGCUGUAAACGAUGGGUACUGAGCAUUGGGAGUAUCGACCCUCCCGGUGUUGUUUAAUUAAGCUAACGCCUUAAGUACCCCGCCUGGGAAGUACGGUCGCAAGACUA
Molecule: ribosomal RNA, 514 nt
Filed under: uncultured bacterium
Lineage: Bacteria
Description: bacterial SSU rRNA
Rfam family: Bacterial small subunit ribosomal RNA
Source: RNAcentral